UUCCUACGGGAGGCAGCAGUGAGGAAUAUUGGACAAUGGAGGCAACUCUGAUCCAGCCAUGCCGCGUGCAGGAAGACGGCCCUAUGGGUUGUAAACUGCUUUUAUACGGGAAGAACCACAUCUACGUGUAGAUGCUUGACGGUACCGUAUGAAUAAGGACCGGCUAACUCCGUGCCAGCAGCCGCGGUAAUACGGAGGGUCCAAGCGUUAUCCGGAAUCAUUGGGUUUAAAGGGUCCGUAGGCGGAAUAAUAAGUCAGUGGUGAAAGUCUGCAGCUCAACUGUAGGAUUGCCAUUGAUACUGUUGUUCUUGAAUUAUUAUGAAGUGGUUGGAAUAAGUAGUGUAGCGGUGAAAUGCAUAGAUAUUACUUAGAACACCUAUUGCGAAGGCAGAUCACUAAUAAUAUAUUGACGCUGAGGGACGAAAGCGUAGGUAGCGAACAGGAUUAGAUACCCUGGUAGUCUACGCCGUAAACGAUGGUUACUAGCUGUCCGGCCUAAUUGAGGGCUGGGUGGU
Molecule: ribosomal RNA, 515 nt
Filed under: uncultured bacterium
Lineage: Bacteria
Description: bacterial SSU rRNA
Rfam family: Bacterial small subunit ribosomal RNA
Source: RNAcentral